Molecule: ribosomal RNA, 371 nt
Filed under: uncultured bacterium
Lineage: Bacteria
Description: bacterial SSU rRNA
Rfam family: Bacterial small subunit ribosomal RNA
Source: RNAcentral
GGGGGGGGCAAGCGUUGUUCGGAAUUACUGGGCGUAAAGGGCUCGUAGGUGGCCAACUAAGUCAGAUGUGAAAUCCCUCGGCUUAACCGGGGAACUGCGUCUGAUACUGGAUGGCUUGAGUUUGGGAGAGGGACGCGGAAUUCCAGGUGUAGCGGUGAAAUGCGUAGAUAUCUGGAGGAACACCGGUGGCGAAGGCGGCGUCCUGGACCAACACUGACACUGAGGAGCGAAAGCCAGGGGAGCAAACGGGAUUAGAUACCCCGGUAGUCCUGGCCCUAAACGAUGAAUGCUUGGUGUGGCGGGUAUCGAUCCCUGCCGUGCCGAAGCUAACGCAUUAAGCAUUCCGCCUGGGGAGUACGGUCGCAAGGCUG